This 309-nucleotide ribosomal RNA is filed under the name Coelotinae sp. ZZ893. RNAcentral's name for it is "partial 12S ribosomal RNA". The record is from RNAcentral. Lineage: Eukaryota; Metazoa; Arthropoda; Arachnida; Araneae; Agelenidae.
AAACUAAUUUAGUUUGGCGGCAUUUUAUUCAAUUAGAGGAAUUUGUCUUUAAAUCGAUAAUCCACGUUAAAUUAUACUUUAAUUUCAAAAUUUAUAUACCGCCAUCUAAAGAAUUAAUUUAAAAAUAUUUCUCAAAAAAUACAAUAAAAAGUUAGGUCAAGGUGUAAUCCAUAUUAAAGAAUCAGAUGAAUUACAUUAAAUAUAAUUUAAAGAUCAUUAAUAAAUAUACUAAUACAAAUAAGGAUUUAAAAGUAAUAUAAAUAAUAAUAAUAUAAUAUGAUACAAUAAAUAAAUGUGCACACAUCGCCC